This is an RNA transcript of Chenopodium quinoa (quinoa), 1818 nucleotides long. RefSeq lists it as uncharacterized. The transcript is spliced from 3 exons. Lineage: Eukaryota; Viridiplantae; Streptophyta; Magnoliopsida; Caryophyllales; Amaranthaceae. The record is from RefSeq and is a predicted model, not a curated record.
UUAAAAUAACAAUUUAUCAUCAAUAAUUAAACCCAUUUUAUAUUUUAUUUUUUUGCUGAUGUGGACGAUAUUGUGGGAAAAUUGAUAACAUGGUGUAAUAAGGAAUUUUACGUGGUUUGAACAUUUUCCAUGAAAAUCGGUCAAUUUUAAAAGGAAAACUAAUACUCUACGAAAUACUUUUUAUGAGCAAGUUUACUUUAAACCAUUAUAAAACCUGUCUUGUCCCAUAAUUAGACGAUUGUAUAAAGACCCGCCCAUUUAUUAUUUAUAGACGGAUCCAACCCAUUUAUAACCGUGGCGGGUCAUGGCUUUUAAUAGGGCUCCAAGGCCUCCAACCAUACCUGUCUCUCAGUUCACUUGUCCGUUGAAGCGCAGUUCACGUUCUCCGUUGAAUCUUAUACUUGUAUCCCCCCAUUGAAGCAGCUUCUGAGAUAUGGAUUUGGAUAAGAAAACAGGUAGGGAUGUUUUACGGAGGAUACUCGAUCAACAUGAAUUGGGGGCUAAUAUUGGUUCCGAGACUAUGCCUCUGCUCGAGGUGUUCUCUGUCAGCGUAAAUACCAGCCUCCCUGGCAUGUUUUUAGAUGAUUGUGAUUGUUGUGAAAUAUAUGGCACUAUUAAAGCCACUAAUGGAUUAGGUCAUGUAUUUGAUCUCUACAAACGGAAACGCAACAACCCUGAGUUUAUUGAGCCGAAUAGGGAUGGCUACACUCGUUAUUUGUCAUUAACUGGACUUAAGGAUGGUCGUGUCAUUAUACCCUAUGAUUAUGUCGUUAUGGAGGUGGACCCAAGGGAUAGGGCUCGAAGUGAUGUUGUCAUUGCUAAGGGAAAGUUGAGCUUCAACUACAAAGAAACCUUUUACACAGAACAUGGAGCUGAAAUUGUUCUGGGUGAGGCCGGAUUUGUGACUCUGCAUUAUGCCACUUUCCCUUAUGCAGUGACAGCUUCUGUGGAUGUGUUUUUCUUCAGCAAAGACGGUGAUUAUGAUGUAUUAGACUAUGAUUGUGAUGUUGAUGUUGAUUAUACUGAUUAUGAUACUUCUGCAUAUGGAAAUGACGAUGGUGUUGAUGUUUAUGGAACUGUUGUUGCACAAACCAAUUUUCCUGGGAGUGUCUCCUAUGGGACUAUCUCAAGUAUACUUUUAAAAUUGUCACGUGAUGAAUGUGUACGGGUCAAGUCUAGAUCAUCUAUUGAGCUAUCAAGGUCCAUGGUUGCUAUGCCAGUUAAUUCAAAUUCCCCCUUGAAAUAUAUGUGGAUUUCAAGUAUAAGGAUGGAAGCAGACUAGCUAAUGGGGUCUUAGAGUUUCCAUCUAAUGACUGCAGCCAGUUUAAGAUGGAUUUAGUGGGUGGAAAUGGGCGUAUUAGAGUGCGAGUGAAAUGGGGUAAGGCAUAUGAGCUGCGUUACAAAGGAAGUGAUUUGAAACGCUGUUCGAAUGAAGAGAGCAAGCUUGAUGAACUGGUUAAAAGGCAGCGGUAUUUUGCUGAUCCACAACCCUCAGCAUCCUUCUCGUGUGAUGAUUGGUAGGUUGCUAACUUUUAUUUGACACUCUUAUGCCACUAGUGUAUUUUUAUAGAUUAGUCAUAUGGAGAGUGGGAGGUAGCUCAAUUGGUUAGAGCAUCCUCCCGAUUUUAGGAGAUUUUGGAAUUGAUUUUCAUUACUCGCCCUUGUGGCUCUUUAAACACCAAAAAUAAAAUGGAUUAGUCAUUAAUUUUAUAAUCACUAUUACCCAAUGUAUUUUGGUGGCAAAUGAAGAGAAGUAAGAGUUUGGAGGAGAUGGUGAUUAAGGGAGGAUCGGAGGAGGAAUGGGUGAUGGAUUCAUAU